GAUGGCUACUUGCAUCUGUUCGCUUGUGCUUGGAAGCUAGUAGCAACAACACAAACUAAGCCUGCUACUCUUUAUUUUCCUUGUUUCUUGUUGCUAAACAUGGUGAGAGCAAUCAGACCGGGUCAAGUGCUCAACAUCAGUCCAAGCGGAAGAUGAAUAGUUAACAGAUUAUUCGGUUGAAUCUGGCUUAGCGAAUCAGCAAUCAAUAGCUAAGCUUAUUAUAUAACCGGCAACACGGUCCAGAGAUUAGUUGGAAGAGUCGGGGCAGAAGAGGAUCUUGAGCUCGCCGGGCUGGAUGCAGCGCUGCGGCGUGGCCUCCACGUCCGUCGGCGUCGUCCGAGUGUCCGGGCACCUCUCCUUGAAGAAGUGCCCCUGACCCUGGGCCCUGCACCCGCCGGCGGGGGCCCUGGCGUCGCGGGGGCAGUCCACGUCGAGGUCCACGGCGCAGCCGAGCGACGGGCACUGUUGGUGCUGGCCCUGCUCGAACCUGUGCGGCGUCACCAUCACCGGCAAGUUGAACCCGUCCACCAGGCUCACGCUGUACGCCGCCAGCCCGCCGGGUCCAUGCACGCUCACCUGCGUCACAGUCGCCGGCGCCGGCG
Molecule: long non-coding RNA, 602 nt
Filed under: Hordeum vulgare
Lineage: Eukaryota; Viridiplantae; Streptophyta; Magnoliopsida; Poales; Poaceae
Description: long non-coding RNA (HVUL_LNC009222)
Source: RNAcentral